AUGCCAAAGCGGCGCUCCGAUGAGCGUGUAGGCCUGGAGUCCAAGAGUCACCGUUGUCACUUGUAUCUCGUCAUCCAUGAUGAGGAUGAUAGAUAUGCCAUCCGCAAGUUUGAUUUAUCGUUACACUCUUCUUCUGACCACACCGCUCUGCAGCGCCUACCUCCCCCUCUCAUCAGCCUUGAGUCUCCGAUGAGCGGAUUGUUUGCGUCCAUUGGCUCCAAAAUCAUGGUGAUGGAUACUGAUCGGCCGGAGCGCAUAGUACCCGUCUUUGAUGUCUGCACGAAGUAUCUCACCCUCGGUCCUCGGAAUGGCUCACGGCCUUUUCGGCCCAUAUAUUUACCCGUCGGUGAUAGUCUCGCUGCACUGGACGAGGACUCCUCGGAGCUUCUCCGUCAACAGGAAUGGGGAUGGUCGUCUUGGCGCAGUCUACCGAAUCCGCCGUUCAAUCUUGAAGACAUUACCUCCCACGCGGUGCACCCUGACAGCCGGACCAUCUUUGUCAGCACAAAGACCACCACUUUUUCCCUUGAUACCAGGCUGAAUGAUACUAAGUGGAUGUGUCAUGGCCAAUGGAAGCUUCCUUUUGUUGGACGCGCUCACUUUGACCCUAGGCUGGACGCCUGGGUUGGGCUCUCUGGCGGCCAGGACACGCUUGGUUACCUUUGCUCCAGUGACGUCGUUUCAACAGAUCCUGAUGACCCCAGCGGCAACACACAGUCCCCAUCUUGGAAGCUUAGUAAGAAGAGAUUGUUCGGUGAUAACCAGGCUGAGAAGCACAUUGGCACCAAUCUUGUCUACCUGGGGGUUAGACUCUUCUGCCUUGUGCACUACUUCUCUGUUAAAGAUGAUGCAAGUGGCUCAAAUUGCAAGACAAGAUAUAUGCUUCGGCUAACGACGUUCUCUCUUGAGUAUGACAAAAACGGAGACCUGCGGACUGGAAAACCCAGCCGUGUUCAAUGCUACAGUCUGCCUACACCAUCUAAUAUCCUUGCCUUUCGGGAUCCUGUUGCGUUCUGGUUGUAA
RNAcentral lists this ribosomal RNA (1023 nucleotides) under Triticum aestivum (bread wheat). Its description in RNAcentral is "partial small subunit ribosomal RNA". Lineage: Eukaryota; Viridiplantae; Streptophyta; Magnoliopsida; Poales; Poaceae. The record is from RNAcentral.